CAAUAAGCGGAGGAAAAGAAACUAACAAGGAUUCCCCUAGUAACUGCGAGUGAAGCGGGAAAAGCUCAAAUUUAAAAUCUGGCGGUCUUUGGCUGUCCGAGUUGUAAUCUAGAGAAGUGUUAUCCGCGCUGGACCGUGUACAAGUCUCCUGGAAUGGAGCGUCAUAGAGGGUGAGAAUCCCGUCUUUGACACGGACUGCCAGUGCUUUGUGAUGCGCUCUCAAAGAGUCGAGUUGUUUGGGAAUGCAGCUCAAAAUGGGUGGUAAAUUCCAUCUAAAGCUAAAUAUUGGCGAGAGACCGAUAGCGAACAAGUACCGUGAGGGAAAGAUGAAAAGAACUUUGGAAAGAGAGUUAAACAGUACGUGAAAUUGUUGAAAGGGAAACGCUUGAAGUCAGUCGCGUUGGCCGGGGAUCAACCUUGCUUUUGCUGGGUGUACUUUCCGGUUGAUGGGUCAGCAUCAAUUUUGACCGUUGGAUAAAGUCCAGGGGAAUGUGGCAUCUUCGGAUGUGUUAUAGCCCUUGGUCGCAUACAACGAUUGGGAUUGAGGAACUCAGCACGCCGCAAGGCCGAGAAUUUAUUCUACGUUCGUGCUUAGGAUGCUGGCAUAAUGGCUUUAAUCGACCCGUCUUGAAACACGGACCAAGGAGUCUAACAUGCCUGCGAGUGUUUGGGUGGAAAACCCGAGCGCGUAAUGAAAGUGAAAGUUGAGAUCCCUGUCGCGGGGAGCAUCGACGCCCGGACCAGACCUUUUGUGACGGCUCCGCGGUAGAGCAUGUAUGUUGGGACCCGAAAGAUGGUGAACUAUGCCUGAAUAGGGUGAAGCCAGAGGAAACUCUGGUGGAGGCUCGUAGCGAUUCUGACGUGCAAAUCGAUCGUCAAAUUUGGGUAUAGGGGCGAAAGACUAAUCGAACCAU
This 914-nucleotide ribosomal RNA is filed under the name Kuehneromyces brunneoalbescens. RNAcentral describes it as "eukaryotic LSU rRNA". It matches the Rfam family "Eukaryotic large subunit ribosomal RNA", at positions 44 to 943 of the family's 3401-position model. The record is from RNAcentral. Lineage: Eukaryota; Fungi; Basidiomycota; Agaricomycetes; Agaricales; Kuehneromycetaceae.